Struthio camelus australis is the source of this 1711-nucleotide non-coding RNA. NCBI's taxonomy places the organism in Eukaryota, Metazoa, Chordata, Aves, Struthioniformes, Struthionidae. The record is from RefSeq and is a predicted model, not a curated record.
CCCCUACGGAAGCCAACAUAAAGCUGUAUUUGGCUGCUUGUCUGCCAUGGGCUUUUGAGUACUAUCUACUGUGAUCAUUUGUUCCCCCCAGCACUAUCCUCAGCAAUUGGACCUGGCAGCUUGCUUCAAGAGGCAGAGGCUGGUUUCUCAUGCAAAACCUUUGCUAGCCUAAAGUGACUUCCACCUGCCAUUUCGCUGCUCUUCCUCAGCCGUACGUCAGCUGGCCCAGCCUGGCCCCACAGCCUGCUGCGCGGCGGCGGGGAGGCUACAGGAGCGCUGCGCGGCAGUGGGCGAUGCAGGUGUGGGCAAUGCCGGCACCGAGGGCAGUGCCAUGCCACGACGCCUGUUGAGAAGGAUGCAUUGAUGGGCAAAAGGGUGGAGUACAGAGGGGAAAGAAGGGGACUGUACUGUUGUCUGAUGCUCUUAAGAGGGCAGAUGAGCCAAGGGAUGAUUUAGCCGCUGGCAUUUCCCAACAUAAAUGGGUAUCAAACCUUUUGCUAACAUUUGGCCAAGCUACUCAUAACUCGUUCAUAGUGACCCACUGUGUUGCUCUUCAUGGGAGGAGAGGAAGAGACAAACACAUUGGGGGUGUCAAAGGUAGAAGUCUUCAGAGUCACAACAAGGACUCUCCUCAUACGUAUCCAGAUAAUACAAAAAGUCUUCCUGUGGGGCAGAUGACACAUUUUUUUAAACUGCAAAGACAUUUGAUUAAUGAUGUACUAACAGGUGUCAGUCACUUGGAUCAACUCUGACAAUUCUGGAAAUAGUGAAAUACAACUGUCCAGAACGGAAAAAUGUGUGUUUCCCUAUGACUGUAUUACAGCUGACUCAGCCUUGGCCCCUGAUAGCCAUCACUCAUGCUUCCCAACUCAGCUGCUUCGGUGGCUUGGCUAGGAGGAGCCAUUAAACAUGCCGUCCUCCCGUACAAGUAGCCGAGGCACUCUGCCCACGUGCCCCAGCAUGCCGACUUCACACAGCACCUCAAACACGUACCCAGCCUACCACUGGCUCUUUUUUCUUGGACUUUCUGCCCAGCUCUCGGUGACUACAGGAAACACAAAGCCUUUGUUUGUACAACUGUAUGGUCCAAGCGCUUAUUCCUAAUAGACUCUGACAGCACACACCACGAGGAAUGCUGCGAUAUAUGAAAGAGCAACAUUUGCCACUAGCCUCUGUCCGUUAAGAGCAAAAACUCAGUCUGCCCUUUGUAAAUAUAAUCAGCAGAAGUGAAGCAUUUGCCCUUUUCACAAGAAAGAACACUCUCAGAGGCAGACAGAAACGUUCUAGCAAAAAUCCUUAACACAUUCAAAAGGAAAAGGCUCUACAUUCUCUGAAUUUUUCCAUCAGAAUAUUUCUCAGUCCUCAAGGACUAAAUAGUCCAGGAAAAGCUGCAGCCUCCUUUUUAGGUGGUUAAGUCCUCUGUACUACUCAAAUAUUGGGCCAAACAUAGACUGUAUUCGGUGGGGAAAAGCCAAAGUGGUCAAAACGUGGAAGCCAAGGCCCUAAAAUCUGGAGAAUUCAUUCUGCAGGUUUUGGAGGCAGAAAUAAAGUCAGGGUCUUAGAGGUAGAGCCAGGUUAUCUUUGCAAUCUGCUCCCUUGUUGAAGUUAUCCUGUGGGCUGGGAAUGAGUUUUCUCGGCAUAUGGUGCAGUUCUUCAUGGAAGAAAAAUAUGCCUAUUGCUCUUGUUAGAAGAGAUUUUUUUUCAUCAAAUC